Molecule: ribosomal RNA, 246 nt
Filed under: uncultured Actinomycetales bacterium
Lineage: Bacteria; Bacillati; Actinomycetota; Actinomycetes; Actinomycetales
Description: partial 16S ribosomal RNA
Rfam family: Bacterial small subunit ribosomal RNA
Source: RNAcentral
GGUGCUCGAGUGGCGAACGGGUGAGUAACACGUGAGUAACCUGCCCUUGACUUUGGGAUAACUUCAGGAAACUGGGGCUAAUACCGGAUAGGAGCUCUGCUGCAUGGUGGGGGUUGGAAAGUUUCGGCGGUUGGGGAUGGACUCGCGGCUUAUCAGCUUGUUGGUGGGGUAGUGGCUUACCAAGGCUUUGACGGGUAGCCGGCCUGAGAGGGUGACCGGCCACAUUGGGACUGAGAUACGGCCCAG